GCAGACCCAUACAGUGGCUGGCGGGGUGGUGGUGUUAUUUAAUUGUUGUGGUGUGGGAAGGAGCUGUAUUGAGCGUGUGUGGCCGGUGUUGCCAGGCACGGCCGGCCGGCAGAAAGGCAGGGCUCGCUAGUGAGUGCUUCCUCCAGGGCCUGGUGGCCUGGCCCAGCUGGUCAUCAGGCUACCUGGCGCCUCGAACUCCAUUAGCCGGCGGGGUUCAGGUGGGCGGCGCCGAGGGGUUCACACCUGCAAACCGAACUGCCAUAAACAGACGGUUUCACUGAGAGGACGAAGUAACUGGUCUUGGGGUGGGGCCGGGAAGGCAGCGGUGGACCGAGCAGUGUGGGCGGGCUGGCAAAGAUGUGGAGGAAGGCUUGUGCUGAAGAUGGACAUUAAUGCUUUGUUCUUUUCCAUCUUGAUUUAUUUUUAUGUGUUUGAUGGUAAUUAGAGGCGGCCACCCCUGUUUCCCACACGUGGUGUAGAUCUCUAAUAUAUGCAAUUGUGGGGAGACAAAGUGCGUUGUGUUAAUCUGUCUUGAAAAUAUAUUGUAAACUGUAUU
This is a long non-coding RNA of Portunus trituberculatus (swimming crab), 556 nucleotides long. RefSeq lists it as uncharacterized. Lineage: Eukaryota; Metazoa; Arthropoda; Malacostraca; Decapoda; Portunidae. The record is from RefSeq and is a predicted model, not a curated record. The transcript has 3 exons.